This 164-nucleotide ribosomal RNA is filed under the name uncultured bacterium. RNAcentral describes it as "partial 16S rRNA". It matches the Rfam family "Bacterial small subunit ribosomal RNA", at positions 355 to 511 of the family's 1533-position model. The record is from RNAcentral.
UAGGGAGUCUUCGGCAAUGGACGAAAGUCUGACCGAGCAACGCCGCGUGAGUGAAGAAGGUUUCGGAUCAUAAAACUCUGUUGGUAGAGAAGAACGUUGGUGAGAGUGGAAAGCUCAUCAAGUGACGGUAACUACCCAGAAAGGGACGGCUAACUACGUGCCAC